Molecule: transfer RNA, 73 nt
Filed under: Diaphorina citri (Asian citrus psyllid)
Lineage: Eukaryota; Metazoa; Arthropoda; Insecta; Hemiptera; Psyllidae
Rfam family: tRNA
About the family: Transfer RNA (tRNA) molecules are approximately 80 nucleotides in length.
Source: Rfam by way of RNAcentral
GCCUAGUUAGCUUAGUUGGUAGUGCGUCUGCCUUGUAAGCGCUAGGCCGCGGGUUCGAUUCCCGCCGGGGGCU